This 406-nucleotide ribosomal RNA is filed under the name uncultured bacterium. Its description in RNAcentral is "partial 16S ribosomal RNA". It matches the Rfam family "Bacterial small subunit ribosomal RNA", at positions 30 to 526 of the family's 1533-position model. The record is from RNAcentral.
AUUGAACGCUGGCGGCAGGCCUAACACAUGCAAGUCGAGCGAGCGGCGGACGGGUGAGUAAUGUAUGGGUAACUGCCCGAUAGAGGGGGAUAACUACUGGAAACGGUAGCUAAUACCGCAUACUAUCGGAUGUACCCACAUGGGAUUAGCUAGUAGGUGAGGUAAUGGCUCACCUAGGCGACGAUCCCUAGCUGGUCUGAGAGGAUGAUCAGCCACACUGGAACUGAGACACGGUCCAGACUCCUACGGGAGGCAGCAGUGGGGAAUAUUGCACAAUGGGCGAAAGCCUGAUGCAGCCAUGCCGCGUGUAUGAAGAAGGCCUUCGGGUUGUAAAGUACUUUCAGCGGGGAGGCGUUACCCGCAGAAGAAGCACCGGCUAACUCCGUGCCAGCAGCCGCGGUAAUUC